CUUCAACGAUGCCAGCCACACCGGUCGCUCGGCGCUGUGGUGCUGGCCGUAGGUCGCCAGCAGCGCCUGCGCCUC
RNAcentral lists this antisense RNA (75 nucleotides) under Saccharopolyspora shandongensis. RNAcentral's name for it is "ASpks TB sRNA". It matches the Rfam family "ASpks TB sRNA". Lineage: Bacteria; Bacillati; Actinomycetota; Actinomycetes; Pseudonocardiales; Pseudonocardiaceae. The record is from RNAcentral.